Molecule: long non-coding RNA, 908 nt
Organism: Eucalyptus grandis
Lineage: Eukaryota; Viridiplantae; Streptophyta; Magnoliopsida; Myrtales; Myrtaceae
Exons: 7
Source: RefSeq, a predicted model, not a curated record
GAAAGCAGGAGGAGGGAAGAUCAGCCAAUUGCCUGUUGAACCAUGGGCCCUAUGGGCUUUAGCAGCCCAAUCUGCAGUGAGGUUAGCUUCUCGACUAAUAUGAUUGAUCGACGCAUUAGGGUACUGAGAAAGCAAAUCGUCUAGAGCGGCAAAAAGGUGUUGCUCUCGCCAGGGCCGCGGCUGCUUCCGUUGAAGAACCUCCACCAGUCUGAGACAGUCGGAUUCGAUCGUUACACAUUGAAGCUGCAGACCCUGCUUGAUGAGAUGCUGGAGAGCCCUUAUCAUGGCGUAGAUCUCUGCUUGAAACGCCGAUUGCGCAGGUACAGUACUGAUUUUGGGGGUUGAAGACUUUUGAAGAUUUUCCACUGGGUUAUAGCAUUCUCAACCGCUUGGAUGGAAUUCGGAGCUUGCUGGCGGAAGAUGGCGUUGUUCCGUUGGCACCAUAUCUCCCACAAAAGGUUAGCAAUCACUUCGAAAUUGGGGGAAGAGCGAGGAUGCGUCGCUCGGUUAGCCAACCAGGCGUCCAACCUUUUAACUGAGGCCAACCACAGAAAAACUCUGAUCUUGGGAGCUGUGUGCAUAUGCCAUAUCCGUUUCCACAAUUGAUCCGGAGGUUGAUAGGAAGAUGAGGCCGUUGCAGAGGGAUAGAGGGAGCAUAAAAAGGGACAUGGCGUACUGGGGAAAACAUCUCGCAUUUUGAACGGCCCCAAUCCAAGGGAAUACCCAGUGUGGGGAGCCAACACUUUAAUCUGUUUGCCAUGACCUUUGCUAUGAUCUUAUAUGCAAAGUUACAGAGACUGAUAGGACGAUACUGUUCAAUGCUUUCAGGGCGAUGAACUUUUGGGACCAAGUGAUGCCUAUAGAAGAGGCCAUGGAGGCCAUCGGGACCGUGGGGCCUUGGAAGGACC